UACGGAGGAUGCGAGCGUUAUCCGGAUUUAUUGGGUUUAAAGGGUGCGUAGGCGGACUGUCAAGUCAGCGGUAAAAUUGAGAGGCUCAACCUCUUCCCGCCGUUGAAACUGGCGGGCUGGAGUGCCGGAGAGGUAAGCGGAAUUCCUAGUGUAGCGGUGAAAUGCGUAGAUAUUAGGAGGAACACCAGUGGCGAAGGCGGCUUACUGGACGGCAACUGACGCUGAGGCUCGAAAGCGUGGGGAGCAAACAGG
RNAcentral lists this ribosomal RNA (252 nucleotides) under uncultured bacterium. Its description in RNAcentral is "partial 16S ribosomal RNA". It matches the Rfam family "Bacterial small subunit ribosomal RNA", at positions 524 to 776 of the family's 1533-position model. The record is from RNAcentral.